GAUGAACGCUGGCGGCGUGCCUAAUACAUGCAAGUCGAGCGAACAGACCAUGAUCUUGCUCCUCUGUCGUUUGCGGCUGACGUGUGUGUAACACGUGUAUAACCUACCUAUAUUUCUGGUAUAACUUCGGGAAUCCGGAUCUAAUACCGUAUAAUAUAUUGAUCCGUAUGGUUCAUUAGUGAAAUUCGGUUUUUCUGUCUCUUCUAGAUGCUUCCGCGCCGCAUUAUCUAGUUGUUAAGGUAACGGCUUAUCAAGGCAACGAUGCGUAUCCGACGUGAGAGGGGGAUAGGCAACACUGGAACUGAGACACGGACCAGACUCCUACGGGAGGCAGCAGAAGGGAAUCUUCCGCAAUGGGCGAAAGCUUGACGGAGCAACGCCGAGUGAGUGAUGAAGGUCUUCGGAUCGUAAAACUCUGUUAUUAGGGAAGAACAAAUGUGUAAGUAAAUAUGCACGUAUUGACGGUAACUAAUCAGAAAGCAACGGCUAACUACGUG
RNAcentral lists this ribosomal RNA (497 nucleotides) under uncultured bacterium. RNAcentral describes it as "partial 16S ribosomal RNA". It matches the Rfam family "Bacterial small subunit ribosomal RNA", at positions 28 to 507 of the family's 1533-position model. The record is from RNAcentral.